AUAUUUAGUGUAAAUCCAAACAGCAACGCUCCUGAGUUUGUGUCCCACGUCACCUUCAGUCCGCUCAGAGCAGAGGAAUCAUUUCCAUAGAGAGGAGGCUUUGCAUCGUCAGCUGAUCCUCCACUGAACUGAGAAGCUUUAUAGUCCUGUGACUCCAACUCUGCAGGACUCAGACCCGUCAGUCCACCACAACCACCAUGACUCUCAUCACCCUCCUCAUCUGGACGCUGGCCUGCUGCAGCUUCACAGGAUGCAGCGGCCAGGUGACUGUGACUCAGCCUCCAGUCGUGACAUUUACUCCAGGAUCCACUGUCACACUGACCUGUAACACCAACCCCGGUAUUUAUAGUAAUGAUAUGUCCUGGUACCAGCAGAAACCUGGACAAACUCCGAAGCUUCUUAUAUACGAUAUAUCAACUCUAUAUUCAGGAACUCCCUCUCGAUUCAGUGGCACUGGCAGUAACUCUGGUUCUAGCUUCACCUUAACCAUCAGAGGUGUUCAGGCUGAAGAUGUUGGAGAUUAUUACUGUCAGAGCGUCCAUUAUUUAAACGGAGCAUAUGUGUCCACACAGUGAUUUAGAGCCGUACAAAAACCUCCCUCCGUUUGACUGAAGUGAAACUGGUCUGCUGCAGCUGCACAGAGAAUAACUGGUCCAGUGAACACAACACAAGUCUUCAAGCAGAGCGACAUGAAGAUAAACACAACUGAAACAAACUCCCAGUUUUAAAUGUUCAGAAAUCUCCAAACAAUGCCCCAUGAAACCAACUUUUAGUUAAAACCUAAAACGGCUUAA
Molecule: non-coding RNA, 794 nt
Organism: Pleuronectes platessa (European plaice)
Lineage: Eukaryota; Metazoa; Chordata; Actinopteri; Pleuronectiformes; Pleuronectidae
Source: the annotation of a RefSeq genome assembly